This 439-nucleotide ribosomal RNA is filed under the name uncultured bacterium. RNAcentral's name for it is "partial 16S ribosomal RNA". It matches the Rfam family "Bacterial small subunit ribosomal RNA", at positions 338 to 795 of the family's 1533-position model. The record is from RNAcentral.
CCUACGGGUGGCAGCAGUGGGGAAUAUUGCACAAUGGGCGAAAGCCUGAUGCAGCAACGCCGCGUGGGCGAUGAAGGCCUUCGGAUCGUAAAGCCCUGUUCUUAAAGAAGAUAAUGCCGGUACUUGACGAUUAAGCACCGGCUAACUACGUGCCAGCAGCCGCGGUAAUACGUCGGGGGCUCGUGUUAUCCGGAAUUACUGUGCGUAAAGGGUGCGUAGGUGGUUUCUUAAGUCAGAGGUGAAAGGCUACGGCUAAACCGUAGUAAGCCUUUGAAACUGGGGGACUUGAGGGCAGGAGAGGAGAGUGGAAUUCCUGGUGUAGCGGUGAAAUGCGUAGAUAUUAGGAGGAACACCAGUUGCGAAGGCGGCCUGCUGGACCGUAACUGACGUUGAGGCUCGAAAGCGUGGGGAGCAAACAGGAUUAGAUACCCGUGUAGUC